UUAGAGGGACGCUUUCUUUAAGGUUAUCCCGGGCGAUGGUUGCCCCGGGCGUAAGGGACCGAAAUAUAGUAGGGAAGUAACUGGCGAGAGAGACGAGAAAAGCUCUGGUGUAUACUAAGGUGCCCGUACCGCAAACCGACACAGGUAGAUGGGAUGAGUAUUCUAAGGCCAACGGGAGAAGGGUUGUCAAGGAACUCGGCAAAUUGGCCCCGUAACUUCGGGAUAAGGGGCGCCUGCGAGAGCAGGCCGCAGUGAAAAGGCCCAAGCGACUGUUUAGCAAAAACACAGCUCUCUGCUAAAUCGAAAGAUGACGUAUAGGGGGUGACGCCUGCCCGGUGCUGGAAGGUUAAGGGGAGUGCUUAGCGCAAGCGAAGGUGCGAACUUAAGCCCCAGUAAACGGCGGCCGUAACUAUAACGGUCCUAAGGUAGCGAAAUUCCUUGUCAGGUAAGUUCUGACCCGCACGAAUGGCGUAACGAUUUGGGCACUGUCUCAACAGCCCGCCCGGCGAAAUUGUAGUACCGGUGAAGAUGCCGGUUUCCCGCAACUAGACGGAAAGACCCCAUGGAGCUUCACUGUAGCUUGAUAUUGGAUCUCGGUAUUCCAUGUACAGGAUAGGUGGGAGGCUAGGAAGCGAGCGCGCCAGCGUUCGUGGAGCCAACCUUGGGAUACCACUCUUGGGAUAUUGGGAUUCUAACCUGCGACCAUGAAUCUGGUCGGGGGACACUGUCAGGUGGGCAGUUUGACUGGGGCGGUCGCCUCCAAAAGAGUAACGGAGGCGCUCAAAGGUUCGUUCAGCACGGAUGGAAAUCGUGCACUGAGUGUAAACGCAUAAACGAGCCUAACUGCGAGAAUGACGGUUCGAGCAGUAACGAAAGUUGGAGUUAGUGAUCCGGCGGUAUGUGAAUGGAAAUGCCGUCGCUCAACGGAUAAAAGCUACCCUGGGGAUAACAGGCUGAUCUCCCCCAAGAGUCCACAUCGACGGGGAGGUUUGGCACCUCGAUGUCGGCUCAUCGCAUCCUGGGGCUGAAUUCGGUCCCAAGGGUUUGGCUGUUCGCCAAUUAAAGCGGUACGCGAGCUGGGUUCAGAACGUCGUGAGACAGUUCGGUCCCUAUCUGUUGCGGGCGCAGGAAUAUUGAGAGGAGCUGUCCUUAGUACGAGAGGACCGGGAUGGACGUACCGCUGGUGCACCGGUUGUUCUGCCAAGGGCAUAGCUGGGUAGCUAAGUACGGACGAGAUAAACGCUGAAGGCAUCUAAGCGUGAAACUCCCCUCGAGAUAAGUGUUCCCAUCCUUCGGGAGUAAGGCCCCUUGUAGACUACAAGGUUGAUAGGUCAGGAGUGGAAGUGCAGUAAUGUAUGGAGCGGACUGAUACUAAUAGGCCGAGGGCUUGAC
Molecule: ribosomal RNA, 1392 nt
Filed under: metagenome
Description: bacterial LSU rRNA
Rfam family: Bacterial large subunit ribosomal RNA
Source: RNAcentral